Molecule: ribosomal RNA, 443 nt
Filed under: uncultured Bryobacterales bacterium
Lineage: Bacteria; Pseudomonadati; Acidobacteriota; Terriglobia; Bryobacterales
Description: bacterial SSU rRNA
Rfam family: Bacterial small subunit ribosomal RNA
Source: RNAcentral
UUCCUACGGGGGGCUGCAGUGGGGAAUCUUGCACAAUGGGGGAAACCCUGAUGCAGCGACGCCGCGUGAACGAUGAAGCCCUUCGGGGUGUAAAGUUCUUUCGACGGGGACGAUUAUGACGGUACCCGGAGAAGAAGCUGCGGCUAACUACGUGCCAGCAGCCGCGGUAAUACGUAGGCAGCAAGCGUUGUUCGGAAUUACUGGGCGUAAAGAGUGCGUAGGCGGUUGGCUAAGUUUGGUGUGAAAUCUCCCGGCUCAACUGGGAGGGUGCGCCGAAAACUGGCCGGCUAGAGUGUGGGAGAGGUAAGUGGAAUUCCUGGUGUAGCGGUGAAAUGCGUAGAUAUCAGGAGGAACACCUGCGGUGUAGACGGCUUACUGGACCAUGACUGACGCUGAGGCACGAAAGCGUGGGGAGCAAACAGGAUUAGAUACCCCAGUAGUCG